UCGCCCCAUGCUCCAGAAUAGCUCUUGGAAACGGGUGGUAAUGCUGGAUGCUCCAACUUGACGCAUGUCUUGUUGGGAAAGUGUUUAGUGGCAUGGGAUGGGGUCGCGUCCUAUCAGCUUGUAGGCGGGGUAAUGGCCCACCUAGGCUUCGACGGGUAGCCGGCCUGAGAGGGCGGACGGCCACAUUGGGACUGAGAUACGGCCCAGACUCCUACGGGAGGCAGCAGCU
This 229-nucleotide ribosomal RNA is filed under the name uncultured Gardnerella sp. RNAcentral describes it as "partial 16S ribosomal RNA". It matches the Rfam family "Bacterial small subunit ribosomal RNA", at positions 126 to 355 of the family's 1533-position model. Lineage: Bacteria; Bacillati; Actinomycetota; Actinomycetes; Bifidobacteriales; Bifidobacteriaceae. The record is from RNAcentral.